Molecule: long non-coding RNA, 4792 nt
Filed under: Nicotiana benthamiana
Lineage: Eukaryota; Viridiplantae; Streptophyta; Magnoliopsida; Solanales; Solanaceae
Description: long non-coding RNA (NBEN_LNC027217)
Source: RNAcentral
GAGGAAGAGGAGACUUCUAUAAAUAAAAUAUGGUAUUAUAAUGCGCUAUCUGUAAUACGGGGUAUAUUUUAUGUAGAAACUUGAAACUGUUGAGACGCUUGGGCUAUAGUGGGGGCUGCCUGCCCCGUAUUGGGCUUUGAACGUUCGACAUACUGCCCGGUAGAAACACGGGCAGUGAGGAGAUAAAAUGGGAAUUGUCAGUAAGCCAAUAAUAGAGUUUGGGGGUUGGGGGCGGGGGUCCAUAAAAAGGGUUUACUGGGAGUUCUAAUAAGUGGUACAGUCUGAGGGAACAUUUUUGUACAACAUUCAAUACUUUUCUUAAGAGGAGUUGCUAUCACGGGGAUCAAUCCCCAUUUUCAACCGAGAAGCUGUGAGUUCGAGUUUUCCUAAGAGCAAGGUGAGAAGUUCUUGGAGGGAAGGAUGCCGGGGUCUAUUUGGAAACAGCGUCUCUACUCUAGGGCAGGGGUAAGGUCUGCGUACAUACUAUCCUCCUCAGAUCCCACUAACUGAAAUUAUACUGAGUUGUUGCAUUCAAUACCUUUUUCUGUCUUUUUAUACUACUUCGACCUAGUUCUAUGUAUAGUUGCUCGGAAUUUAAUGUUGAUUUUAAUUUUUUGGUGAAUUCGAACAUUUAUAUUUAAAUUUUUCAAAAAUAAAAUUUCAGUAUUAGAAAAUUAGUUUAAACUUUAAAGUGCUAUAAAAUCAUAAGUAUUUCUUUGUAGAGAUGUUGUUCAGUAAGCCUGGGACUAAAUGUCCAAGCUGUUGACUUUGGUUUUUCUUUGAUGGUUGUAAAUAUUGUUUCGUGGAAAUAUAAAUAGAUAGUUAUAAAAAAAAAAAUCUUGUAUGUAAAAUGUAGAAGUGUGUAACUUAAAAAAUUAUUUGACUGUUCAAAUAAUGUAGUAUUAAUUUUUUACUUGUUAGAAUACCCUAAUUGUUGAUUUUGAGCCAAAAUUUUAAAAUUUGGGAAUUAUAUAUAUAUUUUCCCAAAAUAAAGUUGGGAAAUAUAUUUUGAAAAGGUAUGUCCAAACAUAUUUUAUCUUCAAAUCAAACUUUAACUAAUCAGUUUUUUCAAAACAAAUUUGGGAAUUUAUGGCCAAACACAAGCUAAAUUCAAUAGCUACACACAACGACAAAGGCACACUUAGGUUAAGGUAGUUGACCACCUUUUGCCGGAAAACUAUAUUGCUUAUUAUAUAGGUAAAAUAUGAUAUUUUAGUGGUAUAUAAUAUUUAUUAAAUAUUUUUUAUAUUUUUUUAUUUAUUUCAAACAAAAUUUUAGCUUCGCCACUAGUUACGCAGAUCUGAUGCGCCAAUAUUUGAUGUUGAUUCUCCUUUGAAAGUGUUAGGAUAAAGUUGUAACUUUAUUUUUAGAAUAAUUAAGAAGUUCAAGUAGAUUUUGAUUCUGAGUGGGUAAUUUUGGUAUAUUUGGUGGAGGUAAUACCUUUCUAGUUUUUAGUACCAUAUACCUGCUUUCUAAGUUCCAACAUGAUAUUUAUCUAGUCACCAAGAAUUUAUUCUCUAGAUAUGCUUUGCAUAGGUCAUAAGUAGUAGCAUUAUAUUUAAAAAUUCCAUUACUAUUCUUCGUUGAGUUUUGCAUUAAUCAGUAUACAAAUGUUAACUAAUAAUUACUCAGUGAUCUAAUUUUACUUCAAUCAUAAAUCAAGUUAAACCAAACUGUGAUAAAUAAUACUCAAUUUUCUUUUGUUGCCAAACUCGACUUCGAUAGAGAUAAAUUCUUUUUAGGAAAUGCUUGUUAAUGCAUUAUCAAUAAACAUACAACAACAACAACCCAGUAUAAUCUCACUUAGUAGGGUCUGGGGAGGGUAGUGUGUACGCAGACCUUAUCCUUAUCCUUGGGUAGAGAGGCUGUUUCCAAAUAGACCCCCGGCAUCCUUCAUUCCAAGAGCUUUCCACCUUGCUCUUGGGGAGACUCGAACUCACAACGUCUCGGUUGGAAGUGGUAGUUGCUUACUAUCAGAGCAACCCUCUGGCCUAUUAUCAAUAAACAUAUACUACUUAAUUACUUUAUGCAUGUAUUUGUGAGAGGUACCAGAUGUAUUAGGCAAGAUACGUGUAAGUUGAUCCGAAUACAACUGUUACAAAAAAAAUUACAUUAUAAUUACUUUGACCUCUUUGAAAGUAAUUAAAAAUUAGUUUAACAUCUGUUAUAGGUAAUUUCUGCAAAUUAGAGUGGAAUGCUAGUCAAAGUUGGAGGUAGCAUCUCUUGUGAUGGCAAAUUAGUUUUCUGUACCAUGUAGAAUAAUUGUACUUUGUUAAGCAACUUGUAAUAUUAUCUACAGAUAUAGAAGGAGAAUAAAGAUAAUGAAUGGAAACCAACGAAAAAUUGGAAUUAAUUGUAAUACCAUCAGACAAGAGGGGUUGCUCUUAUGGUAAGCAACCCCCACUUCCAACCGAGAGGUUGCGAGUUCGAGUCUCCCUAAGCGCAAGGUGGAAAGUUCUUGGAGGGAAGGAUGCCGGGGGUCUAUUUGGAAACAGCCUCUCUACCCAAGUGUAUAGGUAAGGCCUGCGUACACACUACCCUCCCAAUUGGAAUUGAUUCUAAAAGCAAAAGGACCAGUGGUUUCAAUGUUCUCCGCAUAAACUGUUGAUUCCUUCGCGUUUUCACUGUUUCUUUGAAGAUGUCUACUUUUUCAGCUGGUUAGUUCAUCAACUAUUAAUUACUUGAGCACUUUAGCAAAUCUCAAUUAGUCCCAUUUUGCUAAAUAUGUCUUUUUUAGUACUAUGUCUCAAAAGAAUAUCAUCUUCUGUAUUUGGAAUACUGACGUGACUUGUCGAAAUUCAACUGAUAUCUAUAGUCUCAUGAAUUUAUGAACCAUAACACAUACAUGAACAAACUAACCAUACCCUUCCAGUCUUCUAGAUGGAAGAUAAACUUCUUAAAAUCACAUAGAAUUGGUGCUAAGUUUGCAAGCUUAACCUGCUGAAUCCAACUGCUUUACCGACCACUCGGCAGCAACUAUCCCUUCAGGAGAUCCAAUGAACCUCAGUAUACACCCCAAAGAUGACAUUCUGGUAAAGAGCAAGUGAUAAGCAACUAUGAUGUUGAAGCAAGUUCAGCUUCAAGUGUCAAUUUAACACCAUCCCUAAAUGUAGUUGUUGACAUAUUGAGCGUCUGAAUCAAUCUGGUGAUAUCCAUGGAUAUAUCUGCUGGAGAUUUAACACCGCGGUUAACCUAGAAAGUUCAGACAACGCACGCAUGUUAGGUACACGGUUUGAACAGAAAAACAGUACUGAUAUUUUAUUCCAACUGCUCUGUGCUUGUAGUGCAACACAACAGGGAGAAAAUGACAGUGAAAGCAGACUGAAAGCUCAUAUAUUGGUACAAAAGAAGCUGGACACAAAUGAGAAGUUAAGAGUCGAUCUUUGAUAAUUUGUUUGUGUGUACAUGCAAAUGUCAUUACUUACAGUUGAUGAGGACACUGGUUUGAUCAAUGACAAACUAUAACCUCUAAUAUGUGCAACAGCUUCAGCCAUCUGAACCCUGGAAACCCGAUCUGGUCCGCCCACGUUCAAAAGUAACUGUAUCGGCUCUCUCCCUAGAAACAACAAACAUCAAGUGAUAAAACACAAAAAGUCAAGGAGACAGAAAUUCAGGUAAUCUUUAGUCACAAAAUUUACUAGAAGGCUUUAAAAGGAAAAAGAUAGAUAAUAUAAAUGUCAACCGCAUCAAUAGUAAUGUUGUGGAAUUUUUCUGCAUUGAGCUAUAGUGAACCAUUGGACACCGAGCUAAACUAUUGUUCUGGAUUAUAUUCCAGUUACCUCAAUAAUAUAUUUAAAAAGAAUCAUCAUGCAACAAGAAAGGGUGGAUUAAAUAUGUAGAAAACUACCAUAAAGAAUAGAACCAAUCCUAGAACAUUUUCAGAAGGUAACUGAUACCUUUCUAUCCCAAAGCUCCAAUUCUACCUCUGAAAAGAAGAACCUUUGAAGGUCUUUACAAUGGACUUUCAAAAAAUAAAAAGAUGGGCAUGAUACAGUCCAAUCAGAGAUUACAGUGAAAAGCUUUCAGUAACAUAACACACACAUGUAAAAAAAAAAAAAAAAGAAGGGUAUCACAUACUCCUCUUUUUUUUUUCUGGGAGAAAGGUAACAGGUGAAAGAGUAACAUCUUUGUUAAUACAGACAUCGAGGCUUGUCAAAAAGCUACGUAGUUUUGAUCAAUGCAAUCCAGUCUGGAGGGUCAAAGCAUGACAAACCUGAGAUCCAUCUAUUUGUUAAUGUCCAUACGAUGGUCACAAGAUCCUUAACAUAGAUAGGACAACGAAACUCAUCGUGGAAAAACUCCAUGGCAUCUCCCUUCGCAAGAACGCUAUCCAUCCACUGCAUGGUUUUCAUGUAAAGAAUUAGAGCAAAUCCCAGCAGUCAAGUAAUUUAAUGCCAGAUAUCAUAAUAGAAAUGCUUAGUUGAGACAUGGUUGUUCUUGUCCUUGUAUCAUAAUAGAAUUAUACUAAAGUAAUCAAUUUUAUGUUCAGUUGAACAACAGUACUAUAGAUUAUAAAGCUUAAUAGAGUUACUCACUCCCUAUGAUAUGACCAUUGAGUCUAAAAAUAGGGGACAAUCAGAUGAAAUUCAAUAGUAAUCUCAGAUAGAGCACGAAUUAUUAUGUGCAAGCUUGAAUACGUCUCAAGAUCAAUCUUAAAUCAACUUCCAGGCUAAACAAAAGGCAAGCUUGACAUACUAUGAAGUGGUUAGUAUGGCCCCCACUCAGUCUACUGAACAAUCCUAAUGAAGUUGGAGAAGUGCAAGAACAAGGCGAAGUUCAUCGUAUCUACCUG